UCAUACUAACCGGGGAGUCAGCGGUGCCUUGUAGCCUGCAAUCCGCUACAGCAGGGGUUAUAUGCCUUUUGAGGGCAGCCACUGUGCGGCCGCGCCGUCUAUGCGCCCGUUGAGGGACGGGUCCCGCGCAAUCGGAAUCCGCGAACCAUGUCAGGUGGGGAACCAAGCAGCAUUAAGCGGUUCUUCCGGUGUGUUGCGGGAGCGCCUGUCCUGAGGGCAAGUUCCGGCUUACGCGCGUAGUUGUUGCUCGAUUUUGGAUGUAUGG
Molecule: signal recognition particle RNA, 265 nt
Filed under: Clostridiales bacterium
Lineage: Bacteria; Bacillati; Bacillota; Clostridia; Eubacteriales
Description: signal recognition particle sRNA large type
Rfam family: Bacterial large signal recognition particle RNA
About the family: The signal recognition particle (SRP) is a universally conserved ribonucleoprotein involved in the co-translational targeting of proteins to membranes. Archaeal SRP consists of a 7S RNA and homologues of the eukaryotic SRP19 and SRP54 proteins.
Source: RNAcentral